GCACCCUUAGCUCAGCUGGAUAGAGUAUCUGACUUCGAAUCAGAGGGUCGCAAGUUCGAAUCUUGCAGGGUGUACCA
This 77-nucleotide transfer RNA is filed under the name Acidobacteriota bacterium. Its description in RNAcentral is "tRNA-Arg". It matches the Rfam family "tRNA". Rfam says of the family: Transfer RNA (tRNA) molecules are approximately 80 nucleotides in length. Their secondary structure includes four short double-helical elements and three loops (D, anti-codon, and T loops). Lineage: Bacteria; Pseudomonadati; Acidobacteriota. The record is from RNAcentral.